GACGAACGCUGGCGGCGUGCCUAAUACAUGCAAGUCGAACGAGAGCGCCCGGUGCUUGCACUGGUCAAUCUAGUGGCGAACGGGUGAGUAACACGUGGGUAACCUGCCCAUCAGAGGGGGAUAACAUCCGGAAACGGAUGCUAAAACCGCAUAGGUCUUCGAACCGCAUGGUUGGAAGAGGAAAAGAGGCGCAAGCUUCUGCUGAUGGAUGGACCCGCGGUGCAUUAGCUAGUUGGGGAGGUAACGGCUCACCAAGGCCGUGAUGCAUAGCCGACCUGAGAGGGUGAUCGGCCACAUUGGGACUGAGACACGGCCCAAACUCCUACGGGAGGCAGCAGUAGGGAAUCUUCCGCAAUGGACGCAAGUCUGACGGAGCAACGCCGCGUGAGUGAAGAAGGUUUUCGGAUCGUAAAACUCUGUUGUUAGAGAAGAACAAGUGCUAGAGUAACUGUUAGCGCCUUGACGGUAUCUAACCAGAAAGCCACGGCUAACUACGUG
This 498-nucleotide ribosomal RNA is filed under the name uncultured bacterium. RNAcentral describes it as "partial 16S ribosomal RNA". It matches the Rfam family "Bacterial small subunit ribosomal RNA", at positions 28 to 507 of the family's 1533-position model. The record is from RNAcentral.